UGUCUGUACCGCGUCCACACCAUUUGUGCUGUUGGGAGACGUCUUAGACUGCCUUCCUUUGGAUCAGUGUGACACAAUAUUCACUUUUGUCGAAAAAAAUGUUGCUACCUGGAAGUCAAAUACAUUCUAUUCUGCUGGCAAAAAUUAUUUACUGCGUAUGUGCAAUGAUCUACUCAGAAGAUUAUCUAAAUCUCAGAAUACAGUUUUCUGUGGACGAAUUCAACUCUUUUUGGCCAGGCUUUUUCCUCUAUCUGAAAAA
This is a long non-coding RNA of Psammomys obesus (fat sand rat), 259 nucleotides long. RefSeq lists it as uncharacterized. NCBI's taxonomy places the organism in Eukaryota, Metazoa, Chordata, Mammalia, Rodentia, Muridae. The record is from RefSeq and is a predicted model, not a curated record. The transcript is spliced from 3 exons.